CUGUGCUUUGCGUCCAAGUUGAUACCUGUGGAGAGAAAAGGAGAGAGAGUGAAUAACACGAGGAGGAAUAGAGCGAACCCUGUACUUACAGUACGCUGUGUUCAGCCCAGAGGUGAGAGCCAUUCAAAGCAAACUAACUGUGCUAUUGUGCCCAAGUUGAUACCUGUGGAGAGAAAAGGAGAGAGAGUGAAUAACACGAGGAGGAAUAGAGCGAACCCUGUACUUACAGUACGCUGUGUUCAGCCCAGAGGUGAGAGCCAUUCAAAGCAAACUAACUGUGCUAUUGUGCCCAAGUUGAUACCUGUGGAGAGAAAAGGAGAGAGAGUGAAUAACACGAGGAGGAAUAGAGCGAACCCUGUACUUACAGUACGCUGUGUUCAGCCCAGAGGUGAGAGCCAUUCAAAGCAAACUAACUGUGCUAUUGUGCCCAAGUUGAUACCUGUGGAGAGAAAAGGAGAGAGAGUGAAUAACACGAGGAGGAAUAGAGCGAACCCUGUACUUACAGUACGCUGUGUUCAGCCCAGAGGUGAGAGCCAUUCAAAGCAAACUAACUGUGCUAUUGUGCCCAAGUUGAUACCUGUGGAGAGAAAAGGAGAGAGAGUGAAUAACACGAGGAGGAAUAGAGCGAACCCUGUACUUACAGUACGCUGUGUUCAGCCCAGAGGUGAGAGCCAUUCAAAGCAAACUAACUGUGCUAUUGUGCCCAAGUUGAUACCUGUGGAGAGAAAAGGAGAGAGAGUGAAUAACACGAGGAGGAAUAGAGCGAACCCUGUACUUACAGUACGCUGUGUUCAGCCCAGAGGUGAGAGCCAUUCAAAGCAAACUAACUGUGCUAUUGUGCCCAAGUUGAUACCUGUGGAGAGAAAAGGAGAGAGAGUGAAUAACACGAGGAGGAAUAGAGCGAACCCUGUACUUACAGUACGCUGUGUUCAGCCCAGAGGUGAGAGCCAUUCAAAGCAAACUAACUGUGCUAUUGUGCCCAAGUUGAUACCUGUGGAGAGAAAAGGAGAGAGAGUGAAUAACACGAGGAGGAAUAGAGCGAACCCUGUACUUACAGUACGCUGUGUUCAGCCCAGAGGUGAGAGCCAUUCAAAGCAAACUAACUGUGCUAUUGUGCCCAAGUUGAUACCUGUGGAGAGAAAAGGAGAGAGAGUGAAUAACACGAGGAGGAAUAGAGCGAACCCUGUACUUACAGUACGCUGUGUUCAGCCCAGAGGUGAGAGCCAUUCAAAGCAAACUAACUGUGCUAUUGUGCCCAAGUUGAUACCUGUGGAGAGAAAAGGAGAGAGAGUGAAUAACACGAGGAGGAAUAGAGCGAACCCUGUACUUACAGUACGCUGUGUUCAGCCCAGAGGUGAGAGCCAUUCAAAGCAAACUAACUGUGCUAUUGUGCCCAAGUUGAUACCUGUGGAGAGAAAAGGAGAGAGAGUGAAUAACACGAGGAGGAAUAGAGCGAACCCUGUACUUACAGUACGCUGUGUUCAGCCCAGAGGUGAGAGCCAUUCAAAGCAAACUAACUGUGCUAUUGUGCCCAAGUUGAUACCUGUGGAGAGAAAAGGAGAGAGAGUGAAUAACACGAGGAGGAAUAGAGCGAACCCUGUACUUACAGUACGCUGUGUUCAGCCCAGAGGUGAGAGCCAUUCAAAGCAAACUAACUGUGCUAUUGUGCCCAAGUUGAUACCUGUGGAGAGAAAAGGAGAGAGAGUGAAUAACACGAGGAGGAAUAGAGCGAACCCUGUACUUACAGUACGCUGUGUUCAGCCCAGAGGUGAGAGCCAUUCAAAGCAAACUAACUGUGCUAUUGUGCCCAAGUUGAUACCUGUGGAGAGAAAAGGAGAGAGAGUGAAUAACACGAGGAGGAAUAGAGCGAACCCUGUACUUACAGUACGCUGUGUUCAGCCCAGAGGUGAGAGCCAUUCAAAGCAAACUAACUGUGCUAUUGUGCCCAAGUUGAUACCUGUGGAGAGAAAAGGAGAGAGAGUGAAUAACACGAGGAGGAAUAGAGCGAACCCUGUACUUACAGUACGCUGUGUUCAGCCCAGAGGUGAGAGCCAUUCAAAGCAAACUAACUGUGCUAUUGUGCCCAAGUUGAUACCUGUGGAGAGAAAAGGAGAGAGAGUGAAUAACACGAGGAGGAAUAGAGCGAACCCUGUACUUACAGUACGCUGUGUUCAGCCCAGAGGUGAGAGCCAUUCAAAGCAAACUAACUGUGCUAUUGUGCCCAAGUUGAUACCUGUGGAGAGAAAAGGAGAGAGAGUGAAUAACACGAGGAGGAAUAGAGCGAACCCUGUACUUACAGUACGCUGUGUUCAGCCCAGAGGUGAGAGCCAUUCAAAGCAAACUAACUGUGCUAUUGUGCCCAAGUUGAUACCUGUGGAGAGAAAAGGAGAGAGAGUGAAUAACACGAGGAGGAAUAGAGCGAACCCUGUACUUACAGUACGCUGUGUUCAGCCCAGAGGUGAGAGCCAUUCAAAGCAAACUAACUGUGCUAUUGUGCCCAAGUUGAUACCUGUGGAGAGAAAAGGAGAGAGAGUGAAUAACACGAGGAGGAAUAGAGCGAACCCUGUACUUACAGUACGCUGUGUUCAGCCCAGAGGUGAGAGCCAUUCAAAGCAAACUAACUGUGCUAUUGUGCCCAAGUUGAUACCUGUGGAGAGAAAAGGAGAGAGAGUGAAUAACACGAGGAGGAAUAGAGCGAACCCUGUACUUACAGUACGCUGUGUUCAGCCCAGAGGUGAGAGCCAUUCAAAGCAAACUAACUGUGCUAUUGUGCCCAAGUUGAUACCUGUGGAGAGAAAAGGAGAGAGAUAG
This is a long non-coding RNA of Cyprinus carpio (common carp), 2811 nucleotides long. The record is from Ensembl. NCBI's taxonomy places the organism in Eukaryota, Metazoa, Chordata, Actinopteri, Cypriniformes, Cyprinidae.